This 199-nucleotide ribosomal RNA is filed under the name bacterium. RNAcentral describes it as "partial 16S ribosomal RNA". It matches the Rfam family "Bacterial small subunit ribosomal RNA", at positions 1334 to 1533 of the family's 1533-position model. The record is from RNAcentral.
GCUAGUAAUCGCGGAUCAGCACUGCCGCGGUGAAUGUGUUCCUGAGCCUUGUACACACCGCCCGUCAAGCCACCAAAGGGGGGGGCAUCCGAAGUCGUCGGAGCUGAAAGGCAGACGCCGAAGAUGAAACUCCUGAUGGGGACUAAGUCGUAAAAUUGUUGCGACCGCCGCGAGUAAUUGCGGUGAAAAAAUUGGCUGU